This 776-nucleotide small RNA is filed under the name Pan troglodytes (chimpanzee). RNAcentral's name for it is "processed transcript". Lineage: Eukaryota; Metazoa; Chordata; Mammalia; Primates; Hominidae. The record is from RNAcentral.
GCACAUUACCAUUAACCAGUACCUGCAGCAGGUGUACGAAGCCAUCGACAGCAGAGAUGGAGCAUCUUGUGCAGAGUUGGUGUCUUUUAAACAUCCUCAUGUUGCAAACCCACGACUUCAAAUGGCCUCUCCAGAGGAGAAGUGUCAACAAGUCUUGGAACCCCCUUAUGAUGAAAUGUUUGCAGCUCAUUUAAGGUGCACUUACGCAGUGGGGAAUCAUGACUUCAUAGAGGCAUACAAGUGCCAGACCGUGAUAGUCCAAUCAUUCUUGCGAGCAUUCCAGGCCCACAAAGAAGAAAACUGGGCUCUGCCUGUCAUGUAUGCAGUAGCGCUUGACCUUCGUGUGUUUGCCAAUAAUGCAGAUCAACAGUUGGUAAAGAAAGGAAAAAGCAAAGUUGGGGACAUGUUGGAAAAAGCAGCAGAGUUACUGAUGAGCUGUUUCCGGGUCUGUGCCAGCGACACAUCAACAAACUCCAUUUAUGUAAACCCCUAAUUAGAGCAAUUGACAGCUCAAACCUGAAAGACGAUUACAGCACUGCACAGAGAGUAACAUACAAAUACUACGUUGGACGCAAGGCUAUGUUUGACAGCGAUUUUAAGCAAGCUGAGGAGUACCUGUCAUUUGCCUUUGAGCAUUGUCACCGUUCUAGUCAGAAGAACAAAAGGAUGAUUCUGAUCUAUUUGCUUCCAGUAAAAAUGCUAUUGGGUCACAUGCCCACUGUGGAGCUCCUGAAAAAGUAUCACCUGAUGCAGUUUGCGGAAGUAACCAGAGCUGU